RNAcentral lists this ribosomal RNA (253 nucleotides) under uncultured bacterium. RNAcentral's name for it is "partial 16S ribosomal RNA". It matches the Rfam family "Bacterial small subunit ribosomal RNA", at positions 524 to 776 of the family's 1533-position model. The record is from RNAcentral.
UACGUAGGGUGCGAGCGUUGCCCGGAUUUAUUGGGCGUAAAGGGCGCGUAGGCGGUCACGCACGUCCGUUGUGAAAUCGCUCGGCUCAACUGGGCGGGGUCAGCGGAUACGGCGUGGCUGGAGCAAGCUAGGGGGCAAUGGAAUUCCCGGUGUAGUGGUGGAAUGCGUAGAGAUGCGGAGGAACACCGAUGGCGAAGGCAGCCCCCUGGGCUAACACUGACGCUGAGGCACGAAAGCGUGGGGAGCAAACAGG